Molecule: ribosomal RNA, 463 nt
Filed under: uncultured Bacteroidales bacterium
Lineage: Bacteria; Pseudomonadati; Bacteroidota; Bacteroidia; Bacteroidales
Description: bacterial SSU rRNA
Rfam family: Bacterial small subunit ribosomal RNA
Source: RNAcentral
UCCUACGGGUGGCAGCAGUGAGGAAUAUUGGUCAAUGGACGAAAGUCUGAACCAGCCAUGCCGCGUGCAGGAUGAAGGCCCUAUGGGUUGUAAACUGCUUUUGUUUGGGAAGAAACUUCCGUACGUGUACGGAACUGACGGUACCAGGCGAAUAAGCAUCGGCUAACUCCGUGCCAGCAGCCGCGGUAAUACGGAGGAUGCAAGCGUUAUCCGGAUUUAUUGGGUUUAAAGGGUGCGUAGGCGGAAUAAUAAGUCAGUGGUGAAAUACCCCGGCUCAACCGGGGAACUGCCAUUGAUACUGUUAAUCUAGAGUACAUUUGAUGUGGGCGGAAUGUAGCAUGUAGCGGUGAAAUGCUUAGAUAUGCUACAGAACACCGAUUGCGAAGGCAGCUCACUAAACUGUAACUGACGCUGAGGCACGAAAGCGUGGGGAGCAAACAGGAUUAGAUACCCGAGUAGUCCC